RNAcentral lists this ribosomal RNA (253 nucleotides) under uncultured bacterium. RNAcentral describes it as "partial 16S ribosomal RNA". It matches the Rfam family "Bacterial small subunit ribosomal RNA", at positions 524 to 776 of the family's 1533-position model. The record is from RNAcentral.
UACAGAGGUCUCAAGCGUUGUUCGGAUUUAUUGGGCGUAAAGGGUGCGUAGGUGGCGGGGUUAGUCGGGUGUGAAAUCUCGGAGCUCAACUUCGAAACUGCAUUCGAUACUGCCUUGCUAGAGUACUGGAGAGGAGAUCGGAAUUUACGGUGUAGCAGUGAAAUGCGUAGAUAUCGUAAGGAAGACCAGUGGCGAAGGCGAAUCUCUGGACAGUUACUGACACUGAGGCACGAAGGCCAGGGGAGCAAACGGG